Molecule: ribosomal RNA, 500 nt
Filed under: uncultured bacterium
Lineage: Bacteria
Description: partial 16S ribosomal RNA
Rfam family: Bacterial small subunit ribosomal RNA
Source: RNAcentral
AUUGAACGCUGGCGGAAUGCUUUACACAUGCAAGCCGAACGGCAGCACGGACUUCGGUCUGGUGGCGAGUGGCGAACGGGUGAGUAAUAUAUCGGAACGUAUCCAGUAAUGGGGGAUAACUAAUCGAAAGGUUGGCUAAUACCGCAUACGUCCUACGGGAGAAAGCUAGGGACCUUCGGGCCUGGCGUUAAUGGAGCGGCCGAUAUCGGAUUAGCUAGUUGGUGAGGUAAAGGCUCACCAAGGCGACGAUCCGUAGCUGGUCUGAGAGGACGACCAGCCACACUGGAACUGAGACACGGUCCAGACUCCUACGGGAGGCAGCAGUGGGGAAUUUUGGACAAUGGGCGAAAGCCUGAUCCAGCCAUUCCGCGUGAGUGAAGAAGGCCUUCGGGUUGUAAAGCUCUUUCGCAAGAGAAGAAAACUUACCCUCUAACAUAGGGUGAGGUUGACGGUAUCUUGAUAAGAAGCACCGGCUAACUACGUGCCAGCAGCCGCCGUAA